This 478-nucleotide long non-coding RNA is filed under the name Nicotiana benthamiana. RNAcentral's name for it is "long non-coding RNA (NBEN_LNC016292)". Lineage: Eukaryota; Viridiplantae; Streptophyta; Magnoliopsida; Solanales; Solanaceae. The record is from RNAcentral.
UAGAUUUAAGAUUCGUAAUGUUUGAGUUGGAUUUAGGGAGGCUUGGUUUGGGAUUUAAGUAGAGAAGGGUAAGGAGAGUAUCUGGUGUGAUUUUUGGAAAUUUUUGAAGAGUUAGGGUUUUGGGCGGAAUCGUCGAUUCAAUAUUUGAAUCAUUUGUCUUAGAUUUGAAGAAAAUCAAGGCCAUGCAUGGACUGGGGAGAUGAAGACGCGGUUGCGGUGUUAAUUUGGUACCGUUUGGUGGUGGCGCCACCAUGGGUGACGGUGGCGGCAUCCACAAAUUUGAAUAUUUGAAGAGUUGGGCUGAUAUUCGAGGGAUGAUAUUUGGGGCGUUGGAAAGAGGAGAGGGAGAGGAUUCAGGAAUGUAAUUUUGGGGCUAAUUGGGGCUUCGCCGCCGGCGGAGGCGAUUUCUAGUCGGCAGCUUACGGCGGGGGGUGGCGGAGACAGGAAAGGGGUCUCUAAGGUUCAUUGGUGAGAGACA